GGUUGUGGCUCAGUGGCAGAGUGCUCGCCUAGCACAUGCGAGGCCCUAGGUUUGAUCCUCAGCACCA
RNAcentral lists this transfer RNA (67 nucleotides) under Marmota monax (woodchuck). RNAcentral describes it as "tRNA.Ala". The record is from RNAcentral. Lineage: Eukaryota; Metazoa; Chordata; Mammalia; Rodentia; Sciuridae.